Molecule: small nuclear RNA, 132 nt
Filed under: Myotis lucifugus (little brown bat)
Lineage: Eukaryota; Metazoa; Chordata; Mammalia; Chiroptera; Vespertilionidae
Description: U2 spliceosomal RNA
Rfam family: U2 spliceosomal RNA
About the family: U2 is a small nuclear RNA (snRNA) component of the spliceosome (involved in pre-mRNA splicing).
Source: Rfam by way of RNAcentral
AUCGCUUCUCGGCCUUUUGGCUAAGAUCAAGUAUAGUAUCUGUUCUUAUCAGUAUUUUUUAUUAUUUAAAUAUAUUUUUAUUUAUUUCAGAGAGGAAGGGAGAGGGAGAGGGAGAGAGAGGUAGAAACAUCA